GUGAAGAUGCAGUGUACCCGCGGCAAGACGGAAAGACCCCGUGAACCUUUACUAUAGCUUGACACUGAACAUUGAGCCUUGAUGUGUAGGAUAGGUGGGAGGCUUUGAAGUGUGGACGCCAGUCUGCAUGGAGCCGACCUUGAAAUACCACCCUUUAAUGUUUGAUGUUCUAACGUGGACCCGUAAUCCGGGUUGCGGACAGUGUCUGGUGGGUAGUUUGACUGGGGCGGUCUCCUCCUAAAGAGUAACGGAGGAGCACGAAGGUUGGCUAAUCCUGGUCGGACAUCAGGAGGUUAGUGCAAUGGCAUAAGCCAGCUUGACUGCGAGCGUGACGGCGCGAGCAGGUGCGAAAGCAGGUCAUAGUGAUCCGGUGGUUCUGAAUGGAAGGGCCAUCGCUCAACGGAUAAAAGGUACUCCGGGGAUAACAGGCUGAUACCGCCCAAGAGUUCAUAUCGACGGCGGUGUUUGGCACCUCGAUGUCGGCUCAUCACAUCCUGGGGCUGAAGUAGGUCCCAAGGGUAUGGCUGUUCGCCAUUUAAAGUGGUACGCGAGCUGGGUUUAGAACGUCGUGAGACAGUUCGGUCCCUAUCUGCCGUGGGCGCUGGAGAACUGAGGGGGGCUGCUCCUAGUACGAGAGGACCGGAGUGGACGCAUCACUGGUGUUCGGGUUGUCAUGCCAAUGGCACUGCCCGGUAGCUAAAUGCGGAAGAGAUAAGUGCUGAAAGCAUCUAAGCACGAAACUUGCCCCGA
Molecule: ribosomal RNA, 750 nt
Filed under: Salmonella enterica
Lineage: Bacteria; Pseudomonadati; Pseudomonadota; Gammaproteobacteria; Enterobacterales; Enterobacteriaceae
Also listed under: 2 other names
Description: partial 23S ribosomal RNA
Rfam family: Bacterial large subunit ribosomal RNA
Source: RNAcentral